RNAcentral lists this ribosomal RNA (87 nucleotides) under Staphylococcus aureus. RNAcentral describes it as "partial 23S ribosomal RNA". It matches the Rfam family "Bacterial large subunit ribosomal RNA", at positions 2839 to 2925 of the family's 2925-position model. The record is from RNAcentral. Lineage: Bacteria; Bacillati; Bacillota; Bacilli; Caryophanales; Staphylococcaceae.
CAAAGAUGAUGAGGUUAAUAGGUUCGAGGUGGAAGCAUGGUGACAUGUGGAGCUGACGAAUACUAAUCGAUCGAAGACUUAAUCAAA